AAAAAUGGAAAUGAAAAUGAAAAGUACACGUGGCAGAAUCAGGACCGUAGCAUACGGCGCCAACUAAGGAUGUUGGGAUAGAAAUUGGGUGGAGAAGAUGGGAUAUCACAGAGCACACAGACUGUCAAAAAUAGAGAAAAGCUGAGUCAAGUCAAGCCUCAGUCAGCUCACAUGUGAUGGGCCUCAGCCAGCACCACUCCACCCCCAUCCGAAUAUGGGCCCCACCUAUCCAGCCCAUUUUACCGGCUCUACCGGUUUUCUCUCUCCUCCUCAGCCCUCAAAAAGCCCGGCCCAUAUAAUUGCACCAUUUCUCCCUCUCUCUCACCUCUUCCUUCUUCUUCUUCUUCCAUAAUCAGCUUUUAAGUUUCAGAAAACAAAAACUCUCUCUCUCUGCGCGGGGCUCUCCGGAGCCCAUUGAACGGAGGCUGAGAAGGACUCGCACCCUUUGGAUUCGUCUGAACGACGUCGCAGAGAGAGAUUGUGGGUUGAGCUUGAGCUUCUUCUUCGUCAUUUUUUGUUUUUCAACGGAUUUUUCUUCUUCUGAGAAAAAAGAAAAAUGGAGAUUUCCAGGGUUUUGUUCUUCGUUUUGGCUGUUGCUUCUCUCUUUUUGACGACUAGGGCUCAAUCUUCUGCUCCGGCUCCCGCUCCCACCAGCGACGGGGCAACCAUAGACCAAGGGGUUGCAUGCCUGUUGAUGUUGGUGGCUCUGGUGUUGACAUACCUAAUUCACUGAAUUGGAACUCUUUUUGCCAUUUCUGGCGAAUUGAAAUAAUGCAUAGUAUUAGAGAUGAAGAGAGAUUUGAAUUGGGGUUGGAUUUGUUGUGUGAUUUGGUCCUGAAUUGGGAAAAUCUAUGGAUUUAUACUAAUUAGGUGUUCUGAUUUUGACAAUUAUGUGUAUUGACUUCUAGUUAUAAUACUCUUUCACUGUCAUUUUCAUUUCAA
Molecule: long non-coding RNA, 942 nt
Organism: Humulus lupulus (European hop)
Lineage: Eukaryota; Viridiplantae; Streptophyta; Magnoliopsida; Rosales; Cannabaceae
Exons: 2
Source: RefSeq, a predicted model, not a curated record